RNAcentral lists this ribosomal RNA (484 nucleotides) under uncultured bacterium. RNAcentral describes it as "partial 16S ribosomal RNA". It matches the Rfam family "Bacterial small subunit ribosomal RNA", at positions 30 to 507 of the family's 1533-position model. The record is from RNAcentral.
AUUGAACGCUGGCGGCAGGCCUAACACAUGCAAGUCGAGCGGAUGAAGGGAGCUUGCUCCUGGAUUCAGCGGCGGACGGGUGAGUAAUGCCUAGGAAUCUGCCUGGUAGUGGGGGAUAACGUCCGGAAACGGGCGCUAAUACCGCAUACGUCCUGAGGGAGAAAGUGGGGGUUCUUCGGACCUCACGCUAUCAGAUGAGCCUAGGUCGGAUUAGCUAGUUGGUGGGGUAAAGGCCUACCAAGGCGACGAUCCGUAACUGGUCUGAGAGGCUGAUCAGUCACACUGGAACUGAGACACGGUCCAGACUCCUACGGGAGGCAGCAGUGGGGAAUAUUGGGCAAUGGGCGAAAGCCUGAUGCAGCAAAGCCGCGUGUGUGAAGAAGGUCUUCGGAUUGUAAAGCACUUUAAGUUGGGAGGAAGGGAAGUAAGUUAAUACCUUGCUGUUUUGACGUUACCAACAGAAUAAGCACCGGCUAACUUCGUG